UUUAUUAAGUAACAAGAAAUACGCUUGGGAGAAACAAAUAUUUUUUAAAUAAGUAAGAAAAUGACUCUGAGAGGAAAAAAGAGAGUAUAAUCUAACUAGAUAAAAAAAAAGAUAAUGAUAAUUAAUGGAUAAAUAAAAACAAAAAAGAAUUAUUGGAACCUGUAAAAAAAUAAAAAGAAUAGUCACCAAAAUGUAAAAGGUGUCGAAGCUAGAAUUCCAUAAAAAAAAAAUUGAAAAAAA
RNAcentral lists this long non-coding RNA (240 nucleotides) under Populus trichocarpa (black cottonwood). Its description in RNAcentral is "long non-coding RNA (PTRI_LNC003699)". The record is from RNAcentral. Lineage: Eukaryota; Viridiplantae; Streptophyta; Magnoliopsida; Malpighiales; Salicaceae.